This 253-nucleotide ribosomal RNA is filed under the name uncultured bacterium. RNAcentral's name for it is "partial 16S ribosomal RNA". It matches the Rfam family "Bacterial small subunit ribosomal RNA", at positions 524 to 776 of the family's 1533-position model. The record is from RNAcentral.
UACGUAGGGGGCGAGCGUUGUCCGGAUUUAUUGGGCGUAAAGAGCGUGUAGGCGGCCAGGUAGGUCUGCUGUGAAAACUCGAGGCUCAACCUCGAGACGUCGGCGGAAACCAUCUGGCUAGAGUCCGGAAGAGGAGAGUGGAAUUCCUGGUGUAGCGGUGAAAUGCGCAGAUAUCGGGAGGAACACCAAUGGCGAAGGCGGCCGCCUGGGCCAGUCCUGACGCUGAGCCGCGAAAGCGUGGGGAGCGAUCCGG